RNAcentral lists this ribosomal RNA (440 nucleotides) under uncultured bacterium. Its description in RNAcentral is "partial 16S ribosomal RNA". It matches the Rfam family "Bacterial small subunit ribosomal RNA", at positions 338 to 795 of the family's 1533-position model. The record is from RNAcentral.
CCUACGGGGGGCAGCAGUAGGGAAUAUUGCUCAAUGGGGGAAACCCUGAAGCAGCAACGCCGCGUGGAGGAUGAAGGUUUUAGGAUUGUAAACUCCUUUUGUUAGAGAAGAUUAUGACGGUAUCUAACGAAUAAGCACCGGCUAACUCCGUGCCAGCAGCCGCGGUACUACGGAGGGUGCAAGCGUGACUCGGAAUCACUUGGCGUAAAGAGGGCGUAGGCGGGGGAAUAAGUCCGUUGUGCAAUCCUGUUGCUUCCCUCCAGAACUGCAUUUGAAACUGUUACUCUGGAGUGUGGGAGCGGUAGGUGGAAUUCUUGGUGUAGGGGUAAAAUCCGUAGAGAUCAAGAGGAAUACUCAUUGCGAAGGCGACCUGCUGGAACAUUACUGACGCUGAUGCACGAACGCGUGGGGAGCAAACAGGAUUAGAUACCCGGGUAGUC